UGCGUAGGCGGGUUUUUAAGUCAGGGGUGAAAUCCUGGAGCUCAACUCCAGAACUGCCUUUGAUACUGAGAAUCUUGAGUUCGGGAGAGGUGAGUGGAACUGCGAGUGUAGAGGUGAAAUUCGUAGAUAUUCGCAAGAACACCAGUGGCGAAGGCGGCUCACUGGCCCGAUACUGACGCUGAGGCACGAAAGCGUGGGGAGCAAACA
This 207-nucleotide ribosomal RNA is filed under the name uncultured bacterium. Its description in RNAcentral is "partial 16S ribosomal RNA". It matches the Rfam family "Bacterial small subunit ribosomal RNA", at positions 568 to 774 of the family's 1533-position model. The record is from RNAcentral.